UACAGCCAUAUCACGUUGAAACACCGGUUCUCGUUCGAUCACCGACGUUAAGCAAUGUCAAUUCCGGUCAGUCCCAAAGUGGGUUAUCGCUUGUGAAUACCAGGUGCUGUAAG
This is a non-coding RNA of Acanthosepion pharaonis, 113 nucleotides long. The record is from the annotation of a GenBank genome assembly. Lineage: Eukaryota; Metazoa; Mollusca; Cephalopoda; Sepiida; Sepiidae.